CGUGUUCUUUCCUUUCUCUCACUCUUAUUUUAUAUUUAUGCUAUUUCAUUGAGGACAAUGUAUGUUUUAAGUGUGGGGGAGGGAACCAUUUAUUUCUUUUGUUUUGUUUAUUUUGUUUUUCAGUUUUUCUCUAUUUUUGGUUUUUAGUUGCUAAAUUAAAAAAAAAUGCAUCUUCUUGAAAGUUUUAGGCUAUAGACUGACUAAUUUGAGAUUAGUUUGCGGAGACUUGGGAAAAAUUCACAAGAUCGAUAUCGUCUUAACACCGCAAGUCUCCUGCAUAUGGAAAUUGAUUCAAAUUCUUAUUAGGCAACGUAUUUGAAAAUAAAUGUUGGCUAAGAUAUUCAUAUUAGACAUCGCUUUAUUAUAUGAGUGUUGUUAUAUGUUUUUAAAAAAAAUAUAUUUUUAAAAAAAUAUUAAACAUCACUUUUGUUUUAGACAGCGUUUAAAAUGAAAAAGCGUUGUUUUAAGUUAUACAUUAGGCAAAGCUUUAUUUAAGAAAGCAUUUGGCUUAAAUGGUACAUUAGAC
This 526-nucleotide long non-coding RNA is filed under the name Lathyrus oleraceus (garden pea). RNAcentral describes it as "Pisum sativum (pea) long non-coding RNA (PSAT_LNC015535)". The record is from RNAcentral. Lineage: Eukaryota; Viridiplantae; Streptophyta; Magnoliopsida; Fabales; Fabaceae.